This 29-nucleotide non-coding RNA is filed under the name Mus musculus (house mouse). Lineage: Eukaryota; Metazoa; Chordata; Mammalia; Rodentia; Muridae. The record is from RNAcentral.
UCCUGAUGCCCAACAUCGGUUAUGGGAGC